Molecule: small nucleolar RNA, 135 nt
Filed under: Sorex araneus (European shrew)
Lineage: Eukaryota; Metazoa; Chordata; Mammalia; Eulipotyphla; Soricidae
Description: Small nucleolar RNA SNORA70 (ENSSARG00000019339.1)
Rfam family: Small nucleolar RNA SNORA70
About the family: snoRNA U70 seems to be exclusive to mammals and is a member of the H/ACA class of snoRNA which contain H (ANANNA) and ACA box motifs.
Source: RNAcentral
CUGCAGCCAGUGGAACCUACUGUGUUAUCAUCCCCCAUGGAGACUAGUGUUCUAUGACUAUACACAGUAGCCUCAUUGGUAGUGUCAGAAGGUUGUGGCUUGUAUAAAAUUUCCUCAAGGGGCUUGGAUAUAAGC